Arenibacter sp. is the source of this 202-nucleotide non-coding RNA. NCBI's taxonomy places the organism in Bacteria, Pseudomonadati, Bacteroidota, Flavobacteriia, Flavobacteriales, Flavobacteriaceae. The record is from Rfam.
CGACAAGCUGGAUAAGGGCGUAUGGGGAAUGCCUAGGCUCUCAGAGGCGAAGAAGGACGCGAUAAGCUGCGAAAAGCUGCGGGGAUCGGCACAUACGAUAUGAUCCGCAGGUAUCCGAAUGGGGCAACCCACCAUAUUGAAGGUAUGGUAUCCCGUAAGGGAGGCAAACCCGGUGAACUGAAACAUCUAAGUAGCCGGAGGA